AACGUACGCUGGCGGCACGCCUAACACAUGCAAGUCGAACGAAGUAGCAAUACUUAGUGGCAGACGGGUGAGUAACAUGUGGGUAUCUGCCCUUUGGCCUGGAAUAACACGAGGAAACUUGUGCUAAUACCGGAUAAGUCUUUACGGAGAAAGCUUUAUGCACCAUUGGAUGAGCCCGCACUUGAUUAGUUAGUUGGUAGGGUAAUGGCCUACCAAGACUGUGAUCAAUAGCUGAUUUGAGAGGAUGAUCAGCCACAUUGGGACUGAGACACGGCCCAAACUCCUACGGGAGGCAGCAGUGGGGAAUCUUGCACAAUGGAGGAAACUCUGAUGCAGCGAUGCCGCGUGAGUGAAGAAGGCCCUUGGGUUGUAAAGCUCUUUCGUCGGGGAAGAAAAUGACUGUACCCGAAUAAGAAGGUCCGGCUAACUUCGUGCCAGCAGCCGCGGUAAUACGAAGGGACCUAGCGUAGUUCGGAAUUACUGGGCUUAAAGAGUUCGUAGGUGGUUGAAAAAGUUAGUGGUGAAAUCCCAGAGCUUAACUCUGGAACUGCCAUUAAAACUUUUCAGCUAGAGUAUGAUAGAGGAAAGCAGAAUUUCUAGUGUAGAGGUGAAAUUCGUAGAUAUUAGAAAGAAUACCAAUGGCGAAGGCAGCUCCUCUGGAUCAUACUGA
This 670-nucleotide ribosomal RNA is filed under the name alpha proteobacterium IMCC14387. RNAcentral describes it as "bacterial SSU rRNA". It matches the Rfam family "Bacterial small subunit ribosomal RNA", at positions 28 to 743 of the family's 1533-position model. Lineage: Bacteria; Pseudomonadati; Pseudomonadota; Alphaproteobacteria. The record is from RNAcentral.